Non-coding RNA from Oryza glumipatula, 203 nucleotides. Lineage: Eukaryota; Viridiplantae; Streptophyta; Magnoliopsida; Poales; Poaceae. The record is from Rfam.
UUAAAGUGCAACCAUAAGUUUACGCGCCCAACUUUGACCGUCCGUCUUAUUUAUAAUUUUUUAUAAUUAGUAUUUUUAUUGUCAUGAGAUGAUAAAACAUAAAUAAUACUUUAUACGUGACUUAUGUUUUUAAUUUUUUAAAAAAGUUUUUAAAUAAGAUGGAGAGUCAAAGUUGUGCACGGAAAAUCAUGGUUACAUUUAAG